Non-coding RNA from Poecilia reticulata (guppy), 279 nucleotides. Lineage: Eukaryota; Metazoa; Chordata; Actinopteri; Cyprinodontiformes; Poeciliidae. The record is from RefSeq and is a predicted model, not a curated record.
GAGACAGUGAGGAGCUCCUGCUUCGAUACAAACCUGAGACUCUAAGCUAUGUGCUUGGUCACCAGGAGAUUGUUUAUGGCAGAUCAUCCAACCUCAAAAAUGCUGAUAACUUCAACAGGCCUAGCUUUUGUUCUUCUGCYAUGUCCAGCUCUGAGAGUGAGAUUGAAGCAGUUAAAGAUAAGCUCAAUGUCACUGAGAUUCACAGAGUGAUCACUCCACUCAGAUGUGUCCUCUUGGCGGAAUGUGAAGCAUUGACUGAAAUGACAAAACAUUUCAAGG